CAGAGGGUAGUUUAUAUUAGAAUAUUAAUUUUGGGGAUUAAUGGUAAGACGUGUCUUUCCUCUGA
RNAcentral lists this transfer RNA (65 nucleotides) under Euconocephalus nasutus. RNAcentral's name for it is "tRNA-Pro". The record is from RNAcentral. Lineage: Eukaryota; Metazoa; Arthropoda; Insecta; Orthoptera; Tettigoniidae.